UAUAAGGUCUAACCUGCCCAAUGAGAAUUUAAAUGGCCGCAGUAUUUUGACUGUGCAAAGGUAGCAUAAUUAUUAGUUUUUUAAUUGAAAGCUUGUAUGAAGGGUUGGACGAGAUAAAAUCUGUCUCUAUUUAAGUUAAGAUAGAAUUUAACUUUUAAGUCAAAAGGCUUAAAUAAUUAUAAAAGACGAGAAGACCCUAUAGAUCUUUAUUUAAUUAGUGUUUUGAUAGUUUAGGAUUAUUUUGAUUAAAAGUAUCGAUUAAAUUUUAUUGGGGUAAUAUAAAGAUUAAAUGAAUUCUUUUUAUUUAUUACAUUGAUUUAUGUAUAUAUGAUCCAUUAUUAUUGAUUAUAAGAUUAAGUUACCUUAGGGAUAACAGCGUAAUUUUUUUGGAGAGCUCUUAUCGAUAAAAAAGUUUGCGACCUCGAUGUUGGAUUAAAAAUUAGCUUGGGUGCAGAAGCUCAAGAUUUUGGUCUGUUCGACCAUUAAAUUUUUACAUGAUCUGAGUUCAGACCGGCGUAAGCCAGGUCGGUUUCUAUCUUUAUUUUGUUAAAAUAUUUUAGUACGAAAGGACCAAGUAUUUGAUAUAUUAUAUUUAUUUUUUGAAUAAUAUU
This 611-nucleotide ribosomal RNA is filed under the name Jansenia rostrulla. RNAcentral describes it as "partial 16S ribosomal RNA". It matches the Rfam family "Bacterial large subunit ribosomal RNA", at positions 1844 to 2735 of the family's 2925-position model. Lineage: Eukaryota; Metazoa; Arthropoda; Insecta; Coleoptera; Carabidae. The record is from RNAcentral.